UGAGUGGCGGACGGGUGAGUAACGCGUGGGCAACCUGCCCUGUACAGGGGGACAACACUUAGAAAUAGGUGCUAAUACCGCAUAACGGGGGGAGCCGCAUGGCACCCCCUGAAAACUCCGGUGGUACAGGAUGGGCCCGCGUCUGAUUAGCUGGUUGGCAGGGUAACGGCCUACCAAGGCGACGAUCAGUAGCCGGCCUGAGAGGGUGAACGGCCACAUUGGGACUGAGACACGGCCCAGACUCCUACGGAAGGCAGCAG
This 260-nucleotide ribosomal RNA is filed under the name uncultured bacterium. RNAcentral's name for it is "partial 16S ribosomal RNA". It matches the Rfam family "Bacterial small subunit ribosomal RNA", at positions 92 to 354 of the family's 1533-position model. The record is from RNAcentral.